CGGGACGGGUGAGUAAUGUCUGGGAAACUGCUUGAUGGAGGGGGAUAACUACUGGAAACGGUAGCUAAUACCGCAUAACGUCGCAAGACCAAAGAGGGGGACCUUCGGGCCUCUUGCCAUCGGAUGUGCCCAGAUGGGAUUAGCUAGUAGGUGGGGUAACGGCUCACCUAGGCGACGAUCCCUAGCUGGUCUGAGAGGAUGACCAGCCACACUGGAACUGAGACACGGUCCAG
RNAcentral lists this ribosomal RNA (233 nucleotides) under uncultured bacterium. RNAcentral's name for it is "partial 16S ribosomal RNA". It matches the Rfam family "Bacterial small subunit ribosomal RNA", at positions 100 to 334 of the family's 1533-position model. The record is from RNAcentral.